CCUACGGGAGACAGCAGUGGGGAAUUUUGGACAAUGGGCGCAAGCCUGAUCCAGCCAUUCCGCGUGAGUGAAGAAGGCCUUCGGGUUGUAAAGCUCUUUCGGCAGGGAAGAAACGGCUACGGUUAAUACCCGUGGCUAAUGACGGUACCUGAAGAAGAAGCACCGGCUAACUACGUGCCAGCAGCCGCGGUAAUACGUAGGGUGCGAGCGUUAAUCGGAAUUACUGGGCGUAAAGCGUGCGCAGGCGGUUUUGUAAGACAGAUGUGAAAUCCCCGGGCUUAACCUGGGAACUGCGUUUGUGACUGCAAGACUAGAGUACGGCAGAGGGGGGUGGAAUUCCACGUGUAGCAGUGAAAUGCGUAGAGAUGUGGAGGAACACCGAUGGCGAAGGCAGCCCCCUGGGUCGAUACUGACGCUCAUGCACGAAAGCGUGGGGAGCAAACAGGAUUAGAUACCCUGGUAGUCCACGCCCUAAACGAUGCCAACUAGGUGUUGGGGAAGGAGACUUCCUUAGUACCGUAGCUAACGCGUGAAGUUGGCCGCCUGGGGAGUACGGUCGCAAGAUUAAAACUCAAAGGAAUUGACGGNUUGAGACGNGCGAGNGACGACGAGGAGAG
RNAcentral lists this ribosomal RNA (617 nucleotides) under uncultured bacterium. RNAcentral describes it as "bacterial SSU rRNA". It matches the Rfam family "Bacterial small subunit ribosomal RNA", at positions 338 to 944 of the family's 1533-position model. The record is from RNAcentral.